Molecule: long non-coding RNA, 741 nt
Filed under: Homo sapiens (human)
Lineage: Eukaryota; Metazoa; Chordata; Mammalia; Primates; Hominidae
Description: MEF2C antisense RNA 1
Source: RNAcentral
GCGUCCAGGAAGGAAGUGACAGAAGACGAAUGGGAAAAGGAGAACAGCUCACAGCGUUUGAAACAUCGCGGCACCACUUUCAGAUAAAAACAUAGACCUGAAUGGCAUCAUCCAGUAUCCAAGGAAACCAUGCAGUUUUGAACAUCUGGAGGCCUGAUUUAUUGGAGAUUGCAAAUGUACAGUGUAACAUAGCUGUGGAGAGCGAGAAGAUCAGGAUUGUCAAUGCUGUCAUUGCUUUUACUGGAAUCCCCAGCACGAAUUGAAGGUUUGACCAGAGACAAAGAAGCAAAUGCUAUCAAUUAACAUUCACAUGUGGUAGGAAUUCUACUAGUGCAUGUGGAGAGAAACAUGGCUGCUGCAUGGAGUCAUAAACCUCAGAGGAAGCUGAGAAUGAGAUGAAAUGUAUAUGUAACCCUUGUGUAUGGCAAGUUUGGCAAGAAAGAAAAAGCAUACUUGGCAGAUUAAGAUAAGGUUUCUCUCUGUUUACUGAUAUAGUCUCAGGUUUGCAUUGUGUGAUGAAUAAUAGGUUGGGGGAAGAUAUCCUUUGUUUAUUCAUUCAUUUCAUCAACAAAUAUUUAAUGAGUACCUACUAUAUGCCAUGCCACAAAGAGUAUAAACCUAGAGACAGAAUGUUGAGUCACAUAGACAGUGCUCCUGAUACAAUUAUUUGAACUGAGUUAACAAUACUUCAAGGUUCCAUGUCUAAUUUACUGGCUAGGUUCUCAACAAAAUUUCUGGAUA